RNAcentral lists this ribosomal RNA (468 nucleotides) under uncultured bacterium. RNAcentral describes it as "partial 16S ribosomal RNA". It matches the Rfam family "Bacterial small subunit ribosomal RNA", at positions 28 to 507 of the family's 1533-position model. The record is from RNAcentral.
GACGAACGCUGGCGGCGUGCUUAACACAUGCAAGUCGAACGGAAAGGCCCUGCUUUUGUGGGGUGCUCGAGUGGCGAACGGGUGAGUAACACGUGAGUAACCUGCCCUUGACUUUGGGAUAACUUCAGGAAACUGGGGCUCAUACCGGAUAGGAGCUCCUGCUGCAUGGUGGGGGUUGGAAAGUUUCGGCGGUUGGGGAUGGACUCGCGGCUUAUCAGCUUGUUGGUGGGGUAGUGGCUUACCAAGGCUUUGACGGGUAGCCGGCCUGGGAGGGUGACCGGCCACAUUGGGACUGAGAGACGGCCCAGACUCCUACGGGAGGCAGAAGUGGGGAAUAUUGCACAAUGGGCGGAAGCCUGAUGCAGCAACGCCGCGUGCGGGAUGAAGGGCUUCGGGUUGUAAACCGCUUUCGCCUGUGACGAAGCGGGAGUGACGGUAAUGGGUAAAGAAGCACCGGCUAACUACGUG